This 442-nucleotide ribosomal RNA is filed under the name uncultured bacterium. RNAcentral's name for it is "bacterial SSU rRNA". It matches the Rfam family "Bacterial small subunit ribosomal RNA", at positions 958 to 1397 of the family's 1533-position model. The record is from RNAcentral.
AACGCGAAGAACCUUACCUGGGCUCGAAAUGUACAGGAAUCCGGUGGAAACAUCGGCGCCCCGCAAGGGGCCUGUAUAUAGGUGCUGCAUGGCUGUCGUCAGCUCGUGUCGUGAGAUGUUGGGUUAAGUCCCGCAACGAGCGCAACCCUCGUCCUAUGUUGCCAGCGGGUCAUGCCGGGGACUCAUGGGAGACUGCCGGGGUCAACUCGGAGGAAGGUGGGGAUGACGUCAAGUCAUCAUGCCCCUUAUGUCUUGGGCUGCAAACAUGCUACAAUGGCCGGUACAGAGGGCUGCGAACUCGCGAGAGUAAGCGAAUCCCGGAAAGCCGGUCUCAGUUCGGAUCGGGGUCUGCAACUCGGCCCCGUGAAGCUGGAGUCGCUAGUAAUCGCGGAUCAGCAACGCCGCGGUGAAUACGUUCCCGGGCCUUGUACACACCGCAUAC